Molecule: ribosomal RNA, 254 nt
Filed under: uncultured bacterium
Lineage: Bacteria
Description: partial 16S ribosomal RNA
Rfam family: Bacterial small subunit ribosomal RNA
Source: RNAcentral
UACGGGGGGAGCAAGCGUUGUUCGGAUUUACUGGGCGUAAAGGGCGCGUAGGCGGUCGUGACAAGUCACUUGUGAAAUCUCCGGGCUUAACUCGGAACGGUCAAGUGAUACUGUCGGACUAGAGUACAGAAGGGGCAACUGGAAUUCUCGGUGUAGCGGUGAAAUGCGUAGAUAUCGAGAGGAACACCUGCGGCGAAGGCGAGUCUCUGGACAUUUCCUGACGCUGAGGCACGAAAGCCAGGGGAGCAAACGGG